GGGCGAUAGCUCAGUCGGAAGAGCGCUACACUCGCAUUGUAGAGGCCGAGGGUUCGAAUCCCUUUCGCUCC
Molecule: transfer RNA, 71 nt
Filed under: marine eukaryotic metagenome
Rfam family: tRNA
About the family: Transfer RNA (tRNA) molecules are approximately 80 nucleotides in length. Their secondary structure includes four short double-helical elements and three loops (D, anti-codon, and T loops). Further hydrogen bonds mediate the characteristic L-shaped molecular structure. tRNAs have two regions of fundamental functional importance: the anti-codon, which is responsible for specific mRNA codon recognition, and the 3' end, to which the tRNAs corresponding amino acid is attached (by aminoacyl-tRNA synthetases). tRNAs cope with the degeneracy of the genetic code in two manners: having more than one tRNA (with a specific anti-codon) for a particular amino acid; and 'wobble' base-pairing, i.e. permitting non-standard base-pairing at the 3rd anti-codon position.
Source: RNAcentral